This 398-nucleotide ribosomal RNA is filed under the name uncultured bacterium. RNAcentral's name for it is "partial 16S ribosomal RNA". It matches the Rfam family "Bacterial small subunit ribosomal RNA", at positions 360 to 775 of the family's 1533-position model. The record is from RNAcentral.
AAUAUUGGACAAUGGGCGAAAGCCUGAUCCAGCCAUGCCGCGUGAGUGAUGAAGGCCNNNGGGUUNUCAAGCUCUUUCACCGGNGACNAUAAUGACGGUAACCGGAGAAGAAGCCCCGGCUAACUUCGUUCCAGCAGCCGCGGUAAUACGAAGGGGGCUAGCGUUGUUCGGAAUUACUGGGCGUAAAGCGCACGUAGGCGGACUAUUAAGUCAGGGGUGAAAUCCCGGGGCUCAACCCCGGAACUGCCUUUGAUACUGGUAGUCUAGAGUCCGAGAGAGGUGAGUGGAAUUCCGAGUGUAGAGGUGAAAUUCGUAGAUAUUCGGAGGAACACCAGUGGCGAAGGCGGCUCACUGGCUCGGUACUGACGCUGAGGUGCGAAAGCGUGGGGAGCAAACAG